This 1905-nucleotide long non-coding RNA is filed under the name Canis lupus familiaris (dog). RNAcentral's name for it is "lncRNA (ENSCAFG00845029971.1)". Lineage: Eukaryota; Metazoa; Chordata; Mammalia; Carnivora; Canidae. The record is from RNAcentral.
GCUUGGGUCCAAGUAUACUCCACACAGCAGUGCAGGGGCUUGGACCCGGAAAUGGGUUACAGCUGGGUUUUUUAUGGGCUGGUCUAGGGGAUUUUCAGAAGGGGUGGAGGAAUUUUUUUCAUUCCAAUAUGGGGGAAAUGUGGGGGAGUUUCUUAAGAUCUGAUAUGGGUUUCUCUGCGAGGGCAUUCUGAGCUCUGUUAUCUUUCUGAUAUGGGAUUCCCUGCCGAGGAGAUUCUGCAGUUUUUCCUGUCAAGUUCAGCUCUUAUUCACAGGGGCCUAAGAUGGCUCUACUUGUGCUAAUGCUAAACUUGAGGUGGAAUGGCCUUAAUUUUUCUCGGCCUCCACAUAUCAUUUUAACCAUUCACAAGUGUACAGUUCAGUAGCAUUAAAUAAAUUCAUAAUGUUGUGUAACCAUCAUCAUUGCCUAUACCCAAAACUUUUCAUCAUCCCAACAUCAUCCCAACAAAACCUCUGUAUCCAUUAAACAAUAACUCCCUCUUCUUCUAGCUCCUGGUAACUUUUAUUCUACUUUCUUUGUCUAUGAAUUUACCCAUUCAAAACACUACAUUUUGUAAACCAUAUCUUCCCCCUAAUCUUUCAGGUUUAUCCAUAAUUUAACCACAAUCUAUUUAACCUUAUUUCAUCAAGGUUUCUAAUAUACAUUCUCCAAUCUAAUUAGAUCUGUUUUCCUGAUAUGCCAUUCUCUCAACCACUCACUGUAUUUAUAUCUAUAGUCACUACCACACAGUUUUAGCAUGUUUAAUCUUUGAGUGUUAGAGCUGCUUGUGUCAUAUAUGUCUGCUAGUCUAAUCUCAUUUUAUAGGCUGGAGAGCUUAAUAACUUGCUUGAAGUCACACACAGACUUCAAGCAGAUAUGAGGUUUGAAAACACAGAAUCCAAGUCUUUUUUUUUUAUGGUGAAAAUAGUUGUCAUUUAAUUUAGCUUAUGAUUUAAAAAGGUAAAUACCAUUGGUUAUUUUACAUAUAUAAUCUGGUCUUGGAAAAUUUUACACGAAAAGGAGAAUCUUCCAAUAUAAAAUUAAAAUGUAAUCUUGAGCAGUAAAAACAAUAUGGUUGUUCUGCAGCACCAAAGAAGACAAAACUCCAGAUCCAAAAGCCUCAGAGAACUUUGACAAAUAUGACCCAUGAGAGAUGUAGGAUGACCUAGAAUCCAAGUCUUUUAAAACAAUCUAAAACGAUUGUUUUUCAAGCAAUUACAACGCCACAGACACAGUUCUGAGCAUUUUACACUGUAUUCUCAUACAAGUCCUAAGGAGUCUUUAUCACUAUUAUUUUCAUUUUCUAUUUCACAAAUGAGGAAGUGCCCAAUUCAGAGAGCACUUGCCUUCUUUUAAUAAUUAAAUAUAAUCUCGAAUUUUUCUAUGUGCAUGAAUCUUCUCCACAUCUAGGCAAGUAAGUUCCACAGGGGCAGCGAUCACGUCUUUUGUAGCUGCAUUCACAUUGGUCAGUAAAUAAACAUAUGGGUAAAAGGAUUGGCGUGCGCUGUAUUUGGAGAAUUUGCUCCAAUCUUGACACUUUAAGUACAAAGGAUCUGAGUAACGACAACAACUCAAAUCCUUACAAUAAGUGGAUGCAGAAGCGUCCUGAUCUCACAGUCCUGACGCUCAUUAAACCCCAGUUGCCUGGUCCGGCAUGUUGCAAUUGACAAAGCUGAACCUCAAAAGCCAGAUUUGGGUUCUGUCCUUAAACUCCAGGGAGGAGCCAACUCUGAAGGUCCGCGCAGGAUCCGAGCCCCUUAAGUGGGUGGUUACUGUUCCUUCGGACCCGGGUUUGGUUUGUUUUUUGCUGACAUUUCGGCUAGGCUGCGUCUGGGUGGCGAGACCCCAAGUCUCCGUCAGGUGGCCCAGGUGGGAGCGGGGGUCCAGCCCCACCCCUCUUCGGGUGU